Molecule: non-coding RNA, 21 nt
Filed under: Arabidopsis thaliana (thale cress)
Lineage: Eukaryota; Viridiplantae; Streptophyta; Magnoliopsida; Brassicales; Brassicaceae
Source: RNAcentral
UGAACCUUUCCUACAAAAUCC